Molecule: long non-coding RNA, 774 nt
Filed under: Helianthus annuus (common sunflower)
Lineage: Eukaryota; Viridiplantae; Streptophyta; Magnoliopsida; Asterales; Asteraceae
Description: hypothetical non coding rna
Source: RNAcentral
UGAUUUGCGCAGAUGUUCAUUUGGUUCCCCCAAUUCUCACUUUCACACUUCUCUCUCUGGUUCUCCGGUGAUAUUAGGGUUUUGUAUAUUGUGUUUGAGAGUUAGAUCUUCAGGUGUUGAUGAUCAUCUAGGCUUUAAAUUGAGCAAGUUCCGGUCGGCUUUCUUUUCUCCAUCAUCAACUCACCGAAACAAACAUAAACAACGAGUGAACUAUGAUAUAAGCUUUUAUGCGGAUCUGUUGCUACACAAUGUGAAUCUUGAAUUAUGCUUUUGAAAAGACAUAUGAUAUUUCUGGGCUUCUAAUGGUAUGCAUGCCUAAGUAGCUUUUAUUGGUUUUCUGAAUGACAUACUUGAAGGCCAUAUUUUGUUGAGCUUAGAGAGGAAGGGGUGGUGCCGUUAUUGUAUAACGGAAUAUUGUUCAACGCGUGAUGGGCCACCGUCGGCAUAUUGUUCAACGCGUUAUAUUAUAACGAAAACCCGAUUUCGUGAUAUUUUCAACGCCGUUAUUGUUUUAUUUUGUGAGGGUAGUUGUUGGUUGGGGGGAAAUUGUUGGGUGUGGUGGUGAGUGAUGACCACCCCUACUAAAAAAGGUUGUGAGUGAUGAAAAAAUGGGAGAUGACAUGGCGGAACUUGAUUGGUGGUUGUGAGUGAUAGAUUCUAUCACUAGUGAACCACCCCCUCCCCUUAUUGUUAUUUUUGCUUCUUUGCAUUGUUGUCUAGCAUCAUAUGUUCCAUUAGACAGAAUGAUAUAUUUGAGUUUUAAAUGAUUCCUUU